Molecule: non-coding RNA, 130 nt
Organism: Pelobates cultripes (western spadefoot toad)
Lineage: Eukaryota; Metazoa; Chordata; Amphibia; Anura; Pelobatidae
Source: the annotation of a GenBank genome assembly
UGCAAAGGGAGUAACGGCUGCGCCCGAGGCUAAUAACAGUAAUCUAUAAUAUUUUAGACCAUUUGGUCUGGUUGUUUGCUAUUAUAGAUUACUGUUAUUAGCCUCGGGCGCAGCCCUUACCCCCUUUGCA